AUCGCUUCUCGGCCUUUUGGCUAAGAUCAAAGUGUAGUUUCCUGUUCUUAUCAGUUUAAUAUCUGAUACGUCCCCCAUCGGGGACCCGCGUAUUAAACCGAUUUUUGGAAUGGGGAGGCGGGCACGGAGCUCGCUCCGGCCGCUCCACGCAUCGCCCGUAUGGCAGUGCCUCCGGAACGGUGCCUGGUGC
This 190-nucleotide small nuclear RNA is filed under the name Scleropages formosus (Asian bonytongue). RNAcentral's name for it is "U2 spliceosomal RNA (ENSSFOG00015024611.1)". It matches the Rfam family "U2 spliceosomal RNA". From Rfam's summary of the family: U2 is a small nuclear RNA (snRNA) component of the spliceosome (involved in pre-mRNA splicing). Complementary binding between U2 snRNA (in an area lying towards the 5' end but 3' to hairpin I) and the branchpoint sequence (BPS) of the intron results the bulging out of an unpaired adenosine, on the BPS, which initiates a nucleophilic attack at the intronic 5' splice site, thus starting the first of two transesterification reactions that mediate splicing. Lineage: Eukaryota; Metazoa; Chordata; Actinopteri; Osteoglossiformes; Osteoglossidae. The record is from RNAcentral.